Long non-coding RNA from Corticium candelabrum, 712 nucleotides. RefSeq lists it as uncharacterized. The transcript has 3 exons. The record is from RefSeq and is a predicted model, not a curated record. NCBI's taxonomy places the organism in Eukaryota, Metazoa, Porifera, Homoscleromorpha, Homosclerophorida, Plakinidae.
CAUUUGGGUUUGCAAGACCUAUUGUUUGUAAUUGAUGGAUUGUUUGAACGUUUUAGAGCCAGUGAUGUUGCUGACUAUGAAUGAAGUGAUUUGUCUACAACUAGAGCCAUGCUUGAAUGGGCUUAGUGCAGAUGUCAGCUUUUACUUUUUGCACGGAUGUUGAAUUAGAAACUCAGUGCACUGGCUGAGAAGAACAACAACUUAUUUGAUUGAACAAUCUUGCAAGACCUCUUGUGGUGCUGUCUCUGGCUAGGUUUGAGUCCCCGUUUAGCUGAAGUAAGCUAAUGAUCAAGAUAUAUACUCAUGUUGUCAAGGACCUUGGUAGUUAGAAUGGUCUCCCACCUCUAUGGACAGGUGACUGGAAGGUAAAAUUUUUACAUAAGCAAUGUUUGCUUGGAAUUUGAUAUCUUUCAAUAAACUGCAAAUUCGACUUGUUGAUUAUCUGCUAGACUCUCUAAUUUGAAUUCUAUUUUGUUGAUUGUCACAUAGAUUUAUGUGAAUAUGAUGGGACAGUUGUGAUCGGUUCUUGUAUGUGGCUAAUGUGAAUUUUUAAAAAUUAAAAUAGGACAAUUUCAAAGUUUUUUACAGCAACUGCUUUAAAGUUUUGUAAACUGUAUGAUAUCAGGCAAAUUUGCAGGGAUGCUGAGACUGGAUGAAUAUUCUGCUGAUAUUGUUAAUUUGUUGGUUGGUUGUGGCCGAUGAUGAAUUUGUC